UACGUAGGGUGCGAGCGUUGUCCGGAAUUACUGGGCGUAAAGAGCUCGUAGGUGGUUUGUCGCGUUGUUCGUGAAAACCUGAGGCUUAACCUUGGGCGUGCGGGCGAUACGGGCAGACUGGAGUACUGCAGGGGAGACUGGUAUUCCUGGUGUAGCGGUGGAAUGCGCAGAUAUCAGGAGGAACACCGGUGGCGAAGGCGGGUCUCUGGGCAGUAACUGACGCUGAGGAGCGAAAGCGUGGGGAGCGAACAGG
RNAcentral lists this ribosomal RNA (253 nucleotides) under uncultured bacterium. Its description in RNAcentral is "partial 16S ribosomal RNA". It matches the Rfam family "Bacterial small subunit ribosomal RNA", at positions 524 to 776 of the family's 1533-position model. The record is from RNAcentral.